UAAUGUAUGGGGAUCUGCCCGAUAGAGGGGAAUAAUUACUGGAAACGGUGGCUAAUACCGCAUAAUGUCUACGGACCAAAGCAGGGGCUCUUCGGACCUUGCACUAUCGGAUGAACCCAUAUGGGAUUAGCUAGUAGGUGGGGUAAAGGCUCACCUAGGCGACGAUCUCUAGCUGGUCUGAGAGGAUGAUCAGCCACACUGGGACUGAGACACGGCCCAG
Molecule: ribosomal RNA, 220 nt
Filed under: uncultured bacterium
Lineage: Bacteria
Description: partial 16S ribosomal RNA
Rfam family: Bacterial small subunit ribosomal RNA
Source: RNAcentral